RNAcentral lists this ribosomal RNA (1946 nucleotides) under Prochlorococcus sp. scB241_529C4. RNAcentral describes it as "bacterial LSU rRNA". It matches the Rfam family "Bacterial large subunit ribosomal RNA", at positions 952 to 2925 of the family's 2925-position model. The record is from RNAcentral. Lineage: Bacteria; Bacillati; Cyanobacteriota; Cyanophyceae; Synechococcales; Prochlorococcaceae.
AACUCUGAAUACCCUGUGUGUAACUAGGCAGUCAGACUGUGGGGGAUAAGCUCCAUAGUCAAGAGGGAAACAGCCCAGACCGCCAGCUAAGGUCCCAAAAUUAACGCUAAGUGAUAAAGGAGGUGGGAUUGCCCAGACAACCAGGAGGUUUGCCUAGAAGCAGCCAUCCUCAAAGGAGUGCGUAAUAGCUCACUGGUCGAGCGAUCCUGCGCCGAAAAUGAACGGGGCUAAGCGUUAUACCGAAGCUGCGGAUAAAUUUAUUUAUGGUAGGGGAGCGUUCUAUGUAGGGUGAAGCGUUAGCGUAAGCGGACGUGGACAGCAUAGAAGUGAGAAUGUCGGCUUGAGUAGCGAAAACAUGGGUGAGAAUCCCAUGCCCCGAAACCCUAAGGGUUCCUCCGGCAGGCUCGUCCGCGGAGGGUUAGUCUGGACCUAAGGCGAGGCCGAAAGGCGUAGUCGAUGGAUAACAGGUCAAUAUUCCUGUACCAGAUGUGUUUUGAGAAGGGGGACGGAGAAGGCUAACCAGGCCAGAUGUUGGUUACUGGUUCAAGCGUUCGAGGCUUUGAGAGAUGGAGAAAACAUCUUGAGCUAAGGCGUGAGUACGAGCUGCUACGGCAGCGAAGUUGGUGAUGUCAUGCUUCCAAGAAAAGCCCUAUACUCGUUAAGACACAAAUGCCAGUACCCGAAACCGACACAGGUGGGGUGGUAGAGAAUACCGAGGGGCGCGAGAUAACUCUCUCUAAGGAACUCGGCAAAAUGGCCCCGUAACUUCGGGAGAAGGGGUGCCAGCGAGAGCUGGUCGCAGUGAAGAGGCGCAAGCGACUGUUUACCAAAAACACAGGUCUCCGCUAAGUCGCAAGACGAUGUAUGGGGGCUGACACCUGCCCAGUGCCGGAAGGUUAAGGAAGCUGGUUAGCUUUAUGUGAAGCUGGCGACUGAAGCCCCGGUGAACGGCGGCCGUAACUAUAACGGUCCUAAGGUAGCGAAAUUCCUUGUCGGGUAAGUUCCGACCCGCACGAAAGGUGUAACGAUUUGCGCGCUGUCUCGGAGAGAGGCUCGGCGAAAUAGAAUUGUCUGUGAAGAUGCGGACUACAUACACCCGGACAGAAAGACCCUAUGAAGCUUUACUGUAGUUUGAUAUUGUGCUCGGGCUCUGAAUGCGCAGAAUAGGUGGGAGACGUUGAAAUAGUGCUUGUGGGUACUAUUGAGUCAUCGGUGAGAUACCACUCUUUUAGAGCUAGGGUUCUAACGCUUACCCGUUAUCCGGGAAGCGGACAGUAUCUGAUGGGCAGUUUGACUGGGGCGGUCGCCUCCUAAAAGGUAACGGAGGCGCACAAAGGUUCCCUCAGGCUGGUUGGAAAUCAGUCGUUGAGUGCAAAAGCAGAAGGGAGCUUGACUGUGAGACCUACAAGUCGAACAGGGACGAAAGUCGGUUUUAGUGAUCCGACGGUUCUGCGUGGAAGGGCCGUCGCUCAACGGAUAAAAGUUACUCUAGGGAUAACAGGCUGAUCUCCCCCAAGAGUUCACAUCGACGGGGAGGUUUGGCACCUCGAUGUCGGCUCAUCGCAACCUGGGGCUGAAGUCGGUCCCAAGGGUUGGGCUGUUCGCCCAUUAAAGCGGUACGCGAGCUGGGUUCAGAACGUCGUGAGACAGUUCGGUCCAUAUCCGGUGUAUGCGCAGGAAUAUUGAGAGGAUUUCUCCCUAGUACGAGAGGACCGGGAGGAACGCACCUCUGGUGUGCCAGUUAUCGUGCCAACGGUAAACGCUGGGUAGCCAUGUGCGGAGUGGAUAACCGCUGAAAGCAUCUAAGUGGGAAGCCCACCUCAAGAUGAGUAUUGCCAUGGCUUAAGCCAGUAAGGUCACGGGAAGAACACCCGUUGAUAGGCUCUACGUGGAAGCUUGGUAACAAGUGCAGCGGAGGAGUACUAAUAGACCGAGGGCUUGACCAA